AUGACGGUACCCAACAAGGAAGUGACGGCUAACUACGUGCCAGCAGCCGCGGUAAUACGUAGGUGGCAAGCGUUAUCCGGAAUUAUUGGGCGUAAAGGGUGCGUAGGCGGUUUGUUAAGUCUGAAGUAAAAGCUAGUGGCUCAACCAUUAUAAGCUUUGGAAACUGGCAGGCUAGAGUGCAGGAGAGGCAAAUGGAAUUCCAUGUGUAGCGGUAAAAUGCGUAGAUAUAUGGAGGAACACCAGUGGCGAAGGCGGUUCGCUGGCCUGCAACUGACGCUGAGGCACGAAAGCGUGGGGAGCGAAUAGGAUUAGAUACCCUAGUAGUCCACGCCGUAAACGAUGAGAACUAGGUGUUGGGGAAACUCAGUGCCGCAGUUAACGCAGUAAGUUCUCCGCCUGGGGAGUAUGCACGCAAGUGUGAAACUCAAAGGAAUUGACGGGGGCCCGCACAAGCGGUGGAGUAUGUGGUUUAAUUCGAAGCAACGCGAAGAACCUUACCAGGCCUUGACAUCCCGAGCGAAGUUAUGGAGACAUAAUGGAGGUUAUCUCGGAGACAGGUGGUGCAUGGUUGUCGUCAGCUCGUGUCGUGAGAUGUUGGGUUAAGUCCCGCAACGAGCGCAACCCUUGUCUUUAGUUACUAACAUUAAGUUGAGGACUCUAGAGAGACUGCCGGUGAUAAACCGGAGGAAGGUGGGGAUGACGUCAAAUCAUCAUGCCCCUUAUGGCCUGGGCUACACACGUACUACAAUGGCAGCUACAAAGAGCAGCGAACUCGCGAGAGCAAGCAAAUCUCACAAAGGCUGUCUCAGUUCGGAUUGGAGUCCGCAACUCGACUCCAUGAAGUCGGAAUCGCUAGUAAUCGUAGAUCAGCAUGCUACGGUGAAUACGUUCUCGGGCCUUGCACUCACCGCCCGUCAA
Molecule: ribosomal RNA, 918 nt
Filed under: uncultured bacterium
Lineage: Bacteria
Description: bacterial SSU rRNA
Rfam family: Bacterial small subunit ribosomal RNA
Source: RNAcentral